RNAcentral lists this long non-coding RNA (203 nucleotides) under Capsicum annuum. RNAcentral describes it as "long non-coding RNA (CANN_LNC014278)". Lineage: Eukaryota; Viridiplantae; Streptophyta; Magnoliopsida; Solanales; Solanaceae. The record is from RNAcentral.
ACAUCUCAAGGCAUCCUAACUAAGGAGGAAAACUAGUACUAGCAUAAUCAGGGUCCCUAACCAUAAUGUCUAACCAUAAGAUAACUAAUAAUAAUGUUAUUUAUCAUAAAGAUGAAAAGGACCAGAAUCAUACUGACAACCGCGGAUACCAGUCCAUAAUCAAUUUGCCACGAACUAACCAUAGUAACCAACAGUAAUGUAAC